This 379-nucleotide long non-coding RNA is filed under the name Aquilegia coerulea. RNAcentral describes it as "long non-coding RNA (ACOE_LNC002142)". The record is from RNAcentral. Lineage: Eukaryota; Viridiplantae; Streptophyta; Magnoliopsida; Ranunculales; Ranunculaceae.
AAUGCAGUUUAUGAGUUGUAUUAGUUUCUCGUAUGAUGAUUACCUUUCCUAGUUUACUCCAAUUGAAAUUAAACUUUCGAAGUCAUUACAAAGAUUGAUAUUAGUUUCUCGUAUGAUGAUUACCUUUCCUAGUUUACUCCAAUUGAAAUUAAACUUUCGAAGUCAUUACAAAGAUUGAUAUUUAUGUUCAAAGUAGUUAGAUUUUUAUAGUGCUUGGCAGCUUGAAUCAAUGAGAUUUGUUUAAAGUAUUGAAAGGCAUAGUGUCACCAUCUGACCGACAAUACUGACGACUGCGAAAACAACACUUAAAAGUUUAGGAGAGUACUUAGAACAGAUCAACUUAACUAUUCGAUCGAAGGCCAAUUGGUUUUGUCUGCAA